GAUGAACGCUGGCGGCGUGCUUAACACAUGCAAGUCGAACGAAGCAUUUAAGCGGAAGUUUUCGGAUGGAAGCUUUUAUGACUGAGUGGCGGACGGGUGAGUAACGCGUGAGCAACCUGCCAUACAGUGGGGGAUAACACAGGGAAACUUGUGCUAAUACCGCAUGACACAUUGGGUUCGCAUGUUUCUGAUGUCAAAGAGCAAUUGCUGUAUGAUGGGCUCGCGUAUGAUUAGACAGUUGGCAGGGUAACGGCCUACCAAAUCUACGAUCAUUAGCCGAACUGAGAGGUUGAACGGCCACAUUGGAACUGAGAAACGGUCCAGACUCC
This 329-nucleotide ribosomal RNA is filed under the name uncultured Ruminococcus sp. Its description in RNAcentral is "bacterial SSU rRNA". It matches the Rfam family "Bacterial small subunit ribosomal RNA", at positions 28 to 339 of the family's 1533-position model. Lineage: Bacteria; Bacillati; Bacillota; Clostridia; Eubacteriales; Oscillospiraceae. The record is from RNAcentral.